GCCCCCAUAGCUUAAUGGAUAAAGCGCGGCCCUCCGGAGGCUGAAAUCUCCGUUCGAAUCGGAGUGGGGGCACCA
RNAcentral lists this transfer RNA (75 nucleotides) under bacterium. RNAcentral's name for it is "tRNA-Arg". It matches the Rfam family "tRNA". Rfam says of the family: Transfer RNA (tRNA) molecules are approximately 80 nucleotides in length. Their secondary structure includes four short double-helical elements and three loops (D, anti-codon, and T loops). RNAcentral also lists the same sequence under 2 other names. The record is from RNAcentral.